Molecule: long non-coding RNA, 2025 nt
Organism: Piliocolobus tephrosceles (Ugandan red Colobus)
Lineage: Eukaryota; Metazoa; Chordata; Mammalia; Primates; Cercopithecidae
Source: Ensembl
CACCCGAACUUAAGCACUCGAACUUAAGCACUCGAACUUAAUUACCUCGAGAUGUUUAUCUCGAGAUAAGCAAGUUAAAAACCUCGCAACGGAUACAUUGACUUAGUAUAACGUAUAUAUAUAUAUAUAUAUACACCUAGUUGAGCAUAUAUAUAUAUAUAUAUAUAUAUAUAUAUAAACAAAAUAAAAAAAAAAUGACACUUGCAUUUUUUAUUUAACACCUUUUAUAAGUAGCAACAUUAGAUAUACUACUACAAUCAUUUUUUUUUUGUUUAUUUUUAAAAUAACAUAUCAUGGUUCUGAUUUCAUCAUAAUGUCCCGUUUCAAAAUUUUGUUUUAUGCUUUAUGUGUUUCUAUAUUUUUAACAUGCAUAAAGUGUAAGAAUGUAAGUGUUAAUACGAACACAUAUGGUAACGAUAAAAUGUACUUACAAGUGAUAAAUAGAGUAGUAUUUAACAAACAUUUAUGUAACAAUUUAAGUUUUAAUAAACUUUUAUGUUAUUUUAAUAUAAUUAAUAAUAAUAAUAAUAAUAAUAAUAAUAAUAAUGUUUUAAAUAAAAAUGGGAUUAUUAAUUCGAUAAAAAGUUUAUCUACUGAACAAAAAAAAAAUAUAUAUAACAAUCGGAGUAAUUUGAAAAAUAAUAGUGAAAGUAACAAGAUUAAUAAUGACGAUGGGGAUGGGGAUGGAGAUGGAGAUGGAGAUAAAGAUGGAGAUAAAGAUGUGUAUGGGUAUGGAUAUGAUGAUAAAAAUGAAAUCUUUUUGGACCUAAAAGAAAGUCAACAAACAAAUUUUAUUAAAAAACAAAAUGUAAGUAAUAAAUAUAGUAUUAUAAGAAGUCAUAAUAUUCAUAAAAAUGAAGAGAAAUAUAGAAAUAAAUUAGGCUACUUAUUUAUAAAUCAAUUAAGUUUAAAAGUAUCAAAUGUUUUAAAAAAAAAACAAUGUAUGAAGUGUAACUAUAGUAGUACUCCUUUUUUUUUAAAACAAAAUAAGAAUUAUAAGCAUCACAAAUUUUUUGGGAACGUAAAAAAAUUACAUUUUACAAGACGAGGAAGUGGAAACAUUGUUGUGGAUAAUAAUAAAUAUACUGUUGAUUUGGUACCUAAAGUUGUCGAUGAAAGAGUUACUCGUCAAAUUAUCCAUAGUACCGAUACUACCAAUAAUAAUAACAACAAUAAUGAACCUACAUUGAAAUACUAUUUUGAUAAAAUUAAUAGUUAUAUAAAUAUGGAAGAAUAUAAAAAAAUAUAUGGGGAUGAAAUAUAUAGCGAAAUUAUAAAACUAUAUGUAAAAAGAGAAAUUAAAGAAGAUUACGAAAAGUUUUAUUUUAAUGAUAUUGUUAAUAAAAGUAUUUUAUUUAAUUUAAAUGAUUUUAAUGAUGAUGAGAAAUUUUUUACAAGUUUACAAAAUGAAUUUAUAAAUAAUGGUGUAUAUAUAAACACGAUUGAUAAAAAGUAUUAUAAUAAAAAAUAUAUGUUAAUUAUGAAACAAAUUUUAGAAUAUAUGCCUUUAUUAAAAAUAAUUAACAAUCCUACUGAUUUAAAAAAAUUAAAACCUGAAUAUUUAUAUUUAUUAACACAUGAAAUAAAAAUGUUUCUUUUUUUUAUGGUUAAUAUAACCGGUGGUCAUUUUUCUGCUUCGUUAGGAUUAUUGGAAUUGCAAUUAUUAUUAUUAUAUAUAUUUAAUCAACCAACUGAUAUUGUAAUAUAUGAUAUAGGUCAUCAAGCAUAUGUACAUAAAAUUUUAACUGGUAGAAAAUUAUUAUUUUUUUCGUUAAGGAAAAAAAAAGGAAUUAGUGGAUUUUUAAAUAUAUUUGAAAGUAUUUAUGAUAAAUUUGGAGCUGGACAUAGUUCAACUGCUUUAAGUGCUAUUCAAGGUUUUUAUGAAGCUGAUUGGCAAGUACUCCAACUGGAUAAACAAAAAAAAGAGCAACAGGAAAAAGAAAAAAAAAACAUGUUAUAUGAUGCGAGUGGUGCGAGUUAUGCAAGUGGUGCGAGUUAUGCGAAUGUUGCAAGUGGUGCGAAUGU